This 222-nucleotide ribosomal RNA is filed under the name uncultured bacterium. RNAcentral's name for it is "partial 16S ribosomal RNA". It matches the Rfam family "Bacterial small subunit ribosomal RNA", at positions 328 to 539 of the family's 1533-position model. The record is from RNAcentral.
ACGCUCGACACCUACGGAGGCAGCAGUAGGGAAUCUUCCGCAAUGGCGAAAGUCUGACGGAGCAACGCCGCGUGAACGAUGAAGGUUUUCGGAUCGUAAAGUUCUGUUGUUAGGGAAGAACAAACUUCGUUUGAAUAAGGCGGAGUCAUGACGGUACCUAACGAGAAAGCCACGGCUAACUACGUGUCAGCAGCCGCGGUAAUCUGAGCGGGCUGGCAAGGC